UGAGGAACAUGACCUUCGGCGGGGAUAGCCGGCCCAACGGCCGGGUAAUACCGCGUACGACCACAUGGGGACAUCCCUGAGUGGUGAAAGCAGCAAUGCGCCGAUGGGGUGCCUCGCGGCCUAUCAGCUAGUUGGUGUGGGUAAUGGCCCACCAAGGCGACGAUGCGUAGCCGACCUGAGAGGGUGAUCGGCCACAUUGGAACUGAGACACGGUCCAGACUCCUACGGGAGCAG
This 234-nucleotide ribosomal RNA is filed under the name uncultured bacterium. RNAcentral's name for it is "partial 16S ribosomal RNA". It matches the Rfam family "Bacterial small subunit ribosomal RNA", at positions 118 to 347 of the family's 1533-position model. The record is from RNAcentral.